Molecule: long non-coding RNA, 952 nt
Organism: Canis lupus familiaris (dog)
Lineage: Eukaryota; Metazoa; Chordata; Mammalia; Carnivora; Canidae
Exons: 6
Source: RefSeq, a predicted model, not a curated record
CUGAUGCAGGGUUCUCUGCAGCCCUGAGGUGGCUGCACCAUCUAGGAGAAGGCUUCCAGGAAGAGGUCUCUGUACCCCUCCACCUGUGCUGUUGCCCAGUCAUCUCAGGAUCAGUAUCUCCCAGCAUGAACUACAGACAGGAGAGUGGCUGCAGUGUUUUAUAUUCCCACUACAGUGAAUGAGAGUUCCUGUUGCUCCAUACCCUGGCCAGCAUUUGGUGUUGUCAAUAUUUUGGAUUUCAGUGUUCCAAUGGUGGUCUGAAGUUGAGCUAGGAGGAUCUUCAAGGAAGAAGCUAAUCAUGAAGCCAAAUGAGAACCUGACUUAAUGAUUGUUGGGGAGAAUAUUCAAGUGUGAACCUGCACCAAGGGCUGUCUUGCCCUCUCACAUCAACGUCUUUGUCAGACAGUUGACUAACAAGUGGAACUAUAAAAAUACCACAAAAGAUUUAGAAAUGAGAAUGUAACAGGAUGUUAGCGGUCAUUUGAAAUCACCCACAAAGCCACUGCAAUGAAGCCAAGUAUGUUUUCGUGUCUCAGCAUAACCGUCUGGUAAAUCUCUGCCUCACGAAACCAAGAUCUUUCAUCUCUGGAGGAGAAUAUCUUUACAGCCACAUCUUCCCCACACCAUCUUCCAUGCCAGACCUCACCAAAUCUACCUUUUCCUACUAUCUCCUGAAGCACAAUCGUCCUUGCAAUUGUUCUUUGAACCAACAGAGGUAGACCUAACCAAAGAAAAGAUGGAAUUGAUUAAAAACAGGCAAGUGUCAGAAAAGAACUGUCAUGAUGACCAUUGUUUUCUCAUAAAAAGGCAAACAUUUAAGCGCUUUCAUAAUCUUACCAAUUUUGAAGAACUAAGCACCAUUAUACCAAACUUUAAUGUCAAACCAUGCUCAAAAAAACCCUCCGAAUUCUAAAUAUGAAUUUCUCUUCUCACAUUCCCAAAUAAAGAUUUC